CCUACGGGAGGCAGCAGUGGGGAAUAUUGGACAAUGGGCGAAAGCCUGAUCCAGCAAUGCCGCGUGAGUGAUGAAGGCCUUAGGGUUGUAAAGCUCUUUUACCAGGGAUGAUAAUGACAGUACCUGGAGAAUAAGCUCCGGCUAACUCCGUGCCAGCAGCCGCGGUAAUACGGAGGGAGCUAGCGUUGUUCGGAAUUACUGGGCGUAAAGCGUACGUAGGCGGUUAUUCAAGUCAGAGGUGAAAGCCUGGAGCUCAACUCCAGAACUGCCUUUGAAACUAGAUAGCUAGAAUCUUGGAGAGGUGAGUGGAAUUCCGAGUGUAGAGGUGAAAUUCGUAGAUAUUCGGAAGAACACCAGUGGCGAAGGCGACUCACUGGACAAGUAUUGACGCUGAGGUACGAAAGCGUGGGGAGCAAACAGGAUUAGAUACCCUGGUAGUCCACGCCGUAAACGAUGAUAACUAGCUGUUCGGGCUCUACGAGCUUGAGUGGCGCNGACUACGACAUUAAGUUAGUCCGUCCGUCGGGAGGUACGGUACGCGAGAAUUAAACUUAACAAAUAGAAGUUAGACGGCGUGAGACGUGCCGACGGACGACGACGAGGGAGGUUAGG
RNAcentral lists this ribosomal RNA (612 nucleotides) under uncultured bacterium. RNAcentral describes it as "bacterial SSU rRNA". The stretch from base 1 to 520 matches the Rfam family "Bacterial small subunit ribosomal RNA", at positions 338 to 873 of the family's 1533-position model. The record is from RNAcentral.